AUUGAACGCUGGCGGCAGGCCUAACACAUGCAAGUCGAACGAGUGGCGGACGGGUGAGUAAUGUCUGGGAAACUGCCUGAUGGAGGGGGAUAACUACUGGAAACUGUAGCUAAUACCGCAUACCAUCGGAUGUGCCCAGAUGGGAUUAGCUAGUGGGUGGGGUAACAGCUAACCUAGGCGACGAUCCCUAGCUGUGCUGAGAGGAUGACCGGCCACACUGGAACGGAGACACGGUCCAGACUACUACGGGAGGCAGCAGUGGGGAAUAUUGCACAAUGGGCGAAAGCCUGAUGCAGCCAUGCCGCGUGUGUGAAGAAGGCCUUCGGGUUGUAAAGCACUUUCAGCGAGGAGGCGUUACUCGCAGAAGAAGCACCGGCUAACUCCGUGCCAGCAGCCGCGGUAAUAC
Molecule: ribosomal RNA, 406 nt
Filed under: uncultured bacterium
Lineage: Bacteria
Description: partial 16S ribosomal RNA
Rfam family: Bacterial small subunit ribosomal RNA
Source: RNAcentral